Molecule: ribosomal RNA, 1452 nt
Filed under: metagenome
Description: bacterial SSU rRNA
Rfam family: Bacterial small subunit ribosomal RNA
Source: RNAcentral
AGAGUUUGAUCCUGGCUCAGAACAAACGCUGGCGGCGCGUUUUAAGCAUGCAAGUCGGACGGUAGGGUGGACUUCGGUUCACUUGAGAGUGGCGAACGGGUGAGUAACACGUAGGUGAUCUGCCCCUGGAUGAGGGAUAGUCCAUGGAAACAUGGGGUAAUACCGCAUGAGGCCUAUCUGGGUUAUCUGGGUGGGUUAAAGGCGCAAUUGUGCUGUCUGGGGAUGAGCCUGCGGUCCAUUAGUUAGUUGGCAGGGUAAAGGCCUACCAAGGCGUUGAUGGAUAGCCGGCCUGAGAGGGUGUACGGCCACACUGGGACUGAGAUACGGCCCAGACUCCUACGGGAGGCAGCAGCUAAGAAUCUUCCGCAAUGGGCGAAAGCCUGACGGAGCGACGCCGCGUGAACGAUGAAGGCCGGAAGGUUGUAAAGUUCUUUUCUUCAUGAAGAAUAAUGCGGGGAGUGGAAAGUCCUGCAGAUGACGUUAGUGAAGGAAUAAGCCCCGGCCAAUUACGUGCCAGCAGCCGCGGUAACACGUAUGGGGCGAGCGUUGUUCGGAAUUAUUGGGCGUAAAGGGCGUGUAGGCGGUUUUGCAAGCUUGGUGUUAAAGGCCUUGGCUUAACCGGGGUUUGGCGCUGAGAACUGCGAGACUAGAGUUCAGGAGGGGGAGCUGGAAUUCCAGGUGUAGGGGUGAAAUCUGUAGAUAUCUGGAAGAACACCGGUGGCGAAGGCGAGCUUCUAUCCAUGGACUGACGCUGAGGCGCGAAAGCGUGGGGAGCAAACAGGAUUAGAUACCCUGGUAGUCCACGCUGUAAACGAUGUGCACUGGGCGUUGGGUGUGAAUGAACACUCGGUGCCGUAGCUAACGCGUUAAGUGCACCGCCUGGGGAGUAUGCCCGCAAGGGUGAAACUCAAAAGGAAUUGACGGGGGCCCGCACAAGCGGUGGAGCAUGUGGUUUAAUUCGAUCAACUCGAAGAACCUUACCUGGGCUUGAACUGCAGUGGACAGCCUGUGAAAGCAGGUCUUCCUUCGGGACUGCUGUAGAGGUGCUGCAUGGCUGUCGUCAGCUCGUGUCGUGAGAUGUUGGGUUAAGUCCCGCAACGAGCGCAACCCUUGUCCUUAGUUGCCAUCAGUUCGGCUGGGCACUCAAAGGAGACUGCCCGGGAUGACCGGGAGGAAGGUGGGGAUGACGUCAAGUCCUCAUGGCCCUUACGUCCAGGGCUACACACGUGCUACAAUGGCCGGUACAGUGGGAAGCAAUACCGCGAGGUGGAGCCAAUCCCCAAAACCGGUCUCAGUUCGGAUAGGAGUCUGCAACUCGACUCCUUGAAGUCGGAAUCGCUAGUAAUCGUUGAUCAGCAGGCAACGGUGAAUACGUUCCCGGGCCUUGUACACACCGCCCGUCACGCCAUGAAAGUCGGGAGUACCAGAAGACGGUGGCCUAACCAAAAAAUG